GAUGAACGCUGGCGGCGUGCCUAAUACAUGCAAGUCGAACGGGGAGUAGCAAUACUCUUAGUGGCGAACAGGUGAGUAACGCGUUGGUACCUGCCCCGAAGCGGGGGAUAACGGACCGAAAGGUCCGCUAAUACCCCAUGUGCUCGGUAACGAGUAAAGGUGAAAACCACUUUGGGAGGGGCCUGCGUCCCAUCAGCUAGUUGGUAAGGUAACGGCUUACCAAGGCGAUGACGGGUAGGGGACCUGAGAGGGUGGCCCCCCACAAUGGAACUGAAACACGGUCCAUACACCUACGGGUGGCAGCAGUAGGGAAUAUUGGUAAUGGGCGCAAGCCUGAACCAGCAACGCCGCGUGUGCGAUGACGGCCUUCGGGUUGUAAAGCACUUUUGACUGGGACGAGGAAGGACGGUACCGGUCGAAUCAGCCUCGGCUAACUACGUG
RNAcentral lists this ribosomal RNA (441 nucleotides) under uncultured bacterium. RNAcentral describes it as "partial 16S ribosomal RNA". It matches the Rfam family "Bacterial small subunit ribosomal RNA", at positions 28 to 507 of the family's 1533-position model. The record is from RNAcentral.